GACCGCGUAGCUCAGUUGGCAGAGCAUUGGGCUGCCUAGUAUUCCAAAGGUCGUAGGUUCGAAUCCCACCGUGGCCG
RNAcentral lists this transfer RNA (77 nucleotides) under Paramuricea clavata. It matches the Rfam family "tRNA". From Rfam's summary of the family: Transfer RNA (tRNA) molecules are approximately 80 nucleotides in length. Their secondary structure includes four short double-helical elements and three loops (D, anti-codon, and T loops). Lineage: Eukaryota; Metazoa; Cnidaria; Anthozoa; Malacalcyonacea; Plexauridae. The record is from Rfam by way of RNAcentral.